Molecule: ribosomal RNA, 465 nt
Filed under: uncultured bacterium
Lineage: Bacteria
Description: partial 16S ribosomal RNA
Rfam family: Bacterial small subunit ribosomal RNA
Source: RNAcentral
GACGAACGCUGGCGGCGUGCUUAACACAUGCAAGUCGAACGGAAAGGCCCCUUUGGGGGUACUCGAGUGGCGAACGGGUGAGUAACACGUGAGUAACCUGCCCUUGACUUCGGGAUAACUUCAGGAAACUGGGGCUAAUACCGGAUAGGACUCCUUGCUGCAUGGUGGGGGUUGGAAAGCUUCGGCGGUUUUGGAUGGACUCGCGGCUUAUCAGCUUGUUGGUGGGGUAGUGGCUUACCAAGGCUUUGACGGGUAGCCGGCCUGAGAGGGCGACCGGCCACAUUGGGACUGAGAUACGGCCCAGACUCCUACGGGAGGCAGCAGUGGGGAAUAUUGCACAAUGGGCGGAAGCCUGAUGCAGCAACGCCGCGUGCGGGAUGACGGCCUUCGGGUUGUAAACCGCUUUCAGCAGGGGCGAAGCUUGUGGUGACGGUACCUGCAGAAGAAGCACCGGCUAACUACGUG